RNAcentral lists this ribosomal RNA (702 nucleotides) under Enterococcus hirae. RNAcentral's name for it is "bacterial SSU rRNA". It matches the Rfam family "Bacterial small subunit ribosomal RNA", at positions 79 to 768 of the family's 1533-position model. The record is from RNAcentral. Lineage: Bacteria; Bacillati; Bacillota; Bacilli; Lactobacillales; Enterococcaceae.
ACCGGAAAAAGAGGAGUGGCGAACGGGUGAGUAACACGUGGGUAACCUGCCCAUCAGAAGGGGAUAACACUUGGAAACAGGUGCUAAUACCGUAUAACAAUCGAAACCGCAUGGUUUUGAUUUGAAAGGCGCUUUCGGGUGUCGCUGAUGGAUGGACCCGCGGUGCAUUAGCUAGUUGGUGAGGUAACGGCUCACCAAGGCGACGAUGCAUAGCCGACCUGAGAGGGUGAUCGGCCACAUUGGGACUGAGACACGGCCCAAACUCCUACGGGAGGCAGCAGUAGGGAAUCUUCGGCAAUGGACGAAAGUCUGACCGAGCAACGCCGCGUGAGUGAAGAAGGUUUUCGGAUCGUAAAACUCUGUUGUUAGAGAAGAACAAGGAUGAGAGUAACUGUUCAUCCCUUGACGGUAUCUAACCAGAAAGCCACGGCUAACUACGUGCCAGCAGCCGCGGUAAUACGUAGGUGGCAAGCGUUGUCCGGAUUUAUUGGGCGUAAAGCGAGCGCAGGCGGUUUCUUAAGUCUGAUGUGAAAGCCCCCGGCUCAACCGGGGAGGGUCAUUGGAAACUGGGAGACUUGAGUGCAGAAGAGGAGAGUGGAAUUCCAUGUGUAGCGGUGAAAUGCGUAGAUAUAUGGAGGAACACCAGUGGCGAAGGCGGCUCUCUGGUCUGUAACUGACGCUGAGGCUCGAAAGCGUGGGGAG